AUGGAUUGCCUUAGUAGCGGCGAGUGAAGCGGCAAAAGCUCAAAUUUGAAAUCUGGCGCCUUCGGUGUCCGAGUUGUAAUUUGAAGAUUGUAACCUUGGGGUUGGCUCUUGUCUAUGUUUCUUGGAACAGGACGUCACAGAGGGUGAGAAUCCCGUGCGAUGAGAUGCCCAAUUCUAUGUAAGGUGCUUUCGAAGAGUCGAGUUGUUUGGGAAUGCAGCUCUAAGUGGGUGGUAAAUUCCAUCUAAAGCUAAAUAUUGGCGAGAGACCGAUAGCGAACAAGUACAGUGAUGGAAAGAUGAAAAGAACUUUGAAAAGAGAGUGAAAAAGUACGUGAAAUUGUUGAAAGGGAAGGGUUUGAGAUCAGACUCGAUAUUUUGUGAGCCUUGCCUUCGUGGCGGGGUGACCCGCAGCUUAUCGGGCCAGCAUCGGUUUGGGCGGUAGGAUAAUGGCGUAGGAAUGUGACUUUACUUCGGUGAAGUGUUAUAGCCUGCGUUGAUGCUGCCUGCCUAGACCGAGGACUGCGAUUUUAUCAAGGAUGCUGGCAUAAUGAUCCCAAACCGCCCGUCUUGAACCCCGGGACCAAAAGAAA
This 590-nucleotide ribosomal RNA is filed under the name Meyerozyma guilliermondii. Its description in RNAcentral is "partial large subunit ribosomal RNA". It matches the Rfam family "Eukaryotic large subunit ribosomal RNA", at positions 70 to 664 of the family's 3401-position model. The record is from RNAcentral. Lineage: Eukaryota; Fungi; Ascomycota; Pichiomycetes; Serinales; Debaryomycetaceae.